UUACAUCCUGGCCAGUGUUGUAACCAUUCAAAACUAAUUAAGAAUCUGUCGAGCCUGCUUUUUGCUUUACCAUUAGGUCUGUACCAAGUAUAUUUUCUACCAAUACUGGGUAUAUCCACCAAUUCCAUAUUAUCAAUGAAGUUAUUAAAACCUUGCAAUUCUCUCUUGUUACCAUUGGAACUAUUUAUCCCCCUACGUUCCCUUUCGUGUCUUAUGGAGUUGAAAUCCCCCAAAAUGCACCAAGAGUUACAAGGUUCCCUUUGCCUAAUCUCUAAUAAAUCUGCCCACAUUUGCCUUUUCAC
Molecule: long non-coding RNA, 302 nt
Filed under: Phaseolus vulgaris (common bean)
Lineage: Eukaryota; Viridiplantae; Streptophyta; Magnoliopsida; Fabales; Fabaceae
Description: long non-coding RNA (PVUL_LNC003543)
Source: RNAcentral